AGAGUUUGAUCAUGGCUCAGAUUGAACGCUGGCGGCAGGCCUAACACAUGCAAGUCGAACGGUAACAGGAUUAGCUUGCUAAUCGCUGACGAGUGGCGGACGGGUGAGUAAUGCUUGGGAACUUGCCUUUGCGAGGGGGAUAACAGUUGGAAACGACUGCUAAUACCGCAUAAUGUCUACGGACCAAACGGGGCUUCGGCUCCGGCGCAAAGAGAGGCCCAAGUGAGAUUAGCUAGUUGGUAAGGUAAAGGCUUACCAAGGCAACGAUCUCUAGCUGUUCUGAGAGGAAGAUCAGCCACACUGGAACUGAGACACGGUCCAGACUCCUACGGGAGGCAGCAGUGGGGAAUAUUGCACAAUGGGGGAAACCCUGAUGCAGCCAUGCCGCGUGUGUGAAGAAGGCCUUCGGGUUGUAAAGCACUUUCAGUUGUGAGGAAAAGUUAGUAGUUAAUACCUGCUAGCCGUGACGUUAACAACAGAAGAAGCACCGGCUAACUCCGUGCCAGCAGCCGCGGUAAUACGGAGGGUGCGAGCGUUAAUCGGAAUUACUGGGCGUAAAGCGCACGCAGGCGGUUUGUUAAGCUAGAUGUGAAAGCCCCGGGCUCAACCUGGGAUGGUCAUUUAGAACUGGCAGACUAGAGUCUUGGAGAGGGGAGUGGAAUUCCAGGUGUAGCGGUGAAAUGCGUAGAUAUCUGGAGGAACAUCAGUGGCGAAGGCGACUCCCUGGCCAAAGACUGACGCUCAUGUGCGAAAGUGUGGGUAGCGAACAGGAUUAGAUACCCUGGUAG
Molecule: ribosomal RNA, 788 nt
Filed under: uncultured bacterium
Lineage: Bacteria
Description: bacterial SSU rRNA
Rfam family: Bacterial small subunit ribosomal RNA
Source: RNAcentral